Molecule: ribosomal RNA, 253 nt
Filed under: uncultured bacterium
Lineage: Bacteria
Description: partial 16S ribosomal RNA
Rfam family: Bacterial small subunit ribosomal RNA
Source: RNAcentral
UACGUAGGGUGCGAGCGUUAAUCGGAAUUACUGGGCGUAAAGCGUGCGCAGGCGGUUUUGUAAGCCAGAUGUGAAAUCCCCGGGCUUAACCUGGGAAUGGCAUUUGGGACUGCAAGGCUUGAGUGUGGCAGAGGAGACCGGAAUUCCUGGUGUAGCAGUGAAAUGCGUAGAUAUCAGGAGGAACACCGAUGGCGAAGGCAGGUCUCUGGGCUAACACUGACGCUCAUGCACGAAAGCGUGGGGAGCAAACAGG